AGCGCUACUAAAAAUAGAUCUAAGCGCGUGCGCUUCCGCUGUCUUCUUUUGUUUUCUCUUCUCGUACGCUUUCGGCCUAAGGAGGCAGGAUGGGCCCAGUGGCAGUGGUAUAGGGCCCUGCCGACAACUUAUCGUGCAAUUGAAAAGUGCAAAAAUGUGACCAAAUGC
This is a long non-coding RNA of Drosophila bipectinata, 168 nucleotides long. RefSeq lists it as uncharacterized. The record is from RefSeq and is a predicted model, not a curated record. Lineage: Eukaryota; Metazoa; Arthropoda; Insecta; Diptera; Drosophilidae.